UGCAAGUCGGACGGGAUCCAUCCGAGAGCUUGCUCGAAGAUGGUGAGAGUGGCGCACGGGUGCGUAACGCGUGAGCAACCUACCUCUAUCAGGGGGAUAGCCUCUCGAAAGAGAGAUUAACACCGCAUAAUAUAAUGUACCGGCAUCGGGAUAUUAUUAAAUAUUUAUAGGAUAGAGAUGGGCUCGCGUGACAUUAGCUAGUUGGUAGGGUAACGGCUUACCAAGGCGACGAUGUCUAGGGGCUCUGAGAGGAGAAUCCCCCACACUGGUACUGAGACACGGACCAGACUCCUACGGGAGGCAGCAGUAAGGAAUAUUGGUCAAUGGGCGGAAGCCUGAACCAGCCAUGCCGCGUGCAGGAUGACUGCCCUAUGGGUUGUAAACUGCUUUUGUCCAGGAAUAAACCUAGAUACGUGUAUCUAGCUGAAUGUACUGGAAGAAUAAGGAUCGGCUAACUCCGUGCCAGCAGCCGCGGUAAUACGGAGGAUCCGAGCGUUAUCCGGAUUUAUUGGGUUUAAAGGGUGCGUAGGCGGCCUAUUAAGUCAGGGGUGAAAUACGGUGGCUCAACCAUCGCAGUGCCUUUGAUACUGAUGGGCUUGAAUCCAUUUGAAGUGGGCGGAAUAAGACAAGUAGCGGUGAAAUGCAUAGAUAUGUCUUAGAACUCCGAUUGCGAAGGCAGCUCACUAAGCUGGUAUUGACGCUGAUGCACGAAAGCGUGGGGAUCGAACAGGAUUAGAUACCCUGGUAGUCCACGCCCUAAACGAUGAUAACUCGAUGUUGGCGAUAGACAGCCAGCGUCUUAGCGAAAGCGUUAAGUUAUCCACCUGG
This 828-nucleotide ribosomal RNA is filed under the name Sphingobacterium siyangense. RNAcentral describes it as "bacterial SSU rRNA". It matches the Rfam family "Bacterial small subunit ribosomal RNA", at positions 56 to 876 of the family's 1533-position model. Lineage: Bacteria; Pseudomonadati; Bacteroidota; Sphingobacteriia; Sphingobacteriales; Sphingobacteriaceae. The record is from RNAcentral.